AUACGGAGGGUGCAAGCGUUAUUCGGAAUCACUGGGCGUAAAGGACGCGUAGGCGGGAAGCAAAGUCUGAUGUGAAAUCCUAUGGCUUAACCAUAGAACUGCAUUGGAAACUGGUUCCCUAGAGUAUGGGAGGGGGAGAUGGAAUUAGUGGUGUAGGGGUAAAAUCCGUAGAUAUCACUAGGAAUACCGAAAGCGAAGGCGAUCUCCUGGAACAAUACUGACGCUAAGGCGUGAAAGCGUGGGGAGCAAACGGGAUUAGAAACCCCAGUAGUCC
RNAcentral lists this ribosomal RNA (274 nucleotides) under uncultured bacterium. RNAcentral's name for it is "partial 16S ribosomal RNA". It matches the Rfam family "Bacterial small subunit ribosomal RNA", at positions 523 to 796 of the family's 1533-position model. The record is from RNAcentral.